This 529-nucleotide ribosomal RNA is filed under the name uncultured bacterium. RNAcentral's name for it is "bacterial SSU rRNA". It matches the Rfam family "Bacterial small subunit ribosomal RNA", at positions 338 to 865 of the family's 1533-position model. The record is from RNAcentral.
CCUACGGGAGGCAGCAGUAGGGAAUAUUGGACAAUGGGCGCAAGCCUGAUCCAGCCAUCCCGCGUGCAGGAUGAAGGUCCUAUGGAUUGUAAACUGCUUUUAUCAGGGAAGAAACCUUGGGAUUCAUCCCAAGUUGACGGUACCUGAGGAAUAAGCACCGGCUAACUCCGUGCCAGCAGCCGCGGUAAUACGGAGGGUGCAAGCGUUAUCCGGAUUUACUGGGUUUAAACGGGUGCGUAGGUGGUCUUGUAAGUCAGCGGUGAAAGCUCGGAGCUCAACUCCGAAAUUGCCAUUGAUACUGCAAGGCUUGAGUACAGUUGAGGUAGGCGGAAUAUGUCAUGUAGCGGUGAAAUGCUUAGAUAUGACAUAGAACACCAAUUGCGAAGGCAGCUUGCUAAACUGAAACUGACACUGAGGCACGAAAGCGUGGGGAUCAAACAGGAUUAGAUACCCUGGUAGUCCACGCCCUAAACCGAUGCUAACUCGUAUUUGGCGUAUAUACAGUACGAGAGUACCGAACGGAAACCGG